This 253-nucleotide ribosomal RNA is filed under the name uncultured bacterium. Its description in RNAcentral is "partial 16S ribosomal RNA". It matches the Rfam family "Bacterial small subunit ribosomal RNA", at positions 524 to 776 of the family's 1533-position model. The record is from RNAcentral.
UACAGAGACUGCAAGCGUUAUUCGGAUUCACUGGGCGUAAAGGGUGCGCAGGCGGCCAAGUGUGUGAGGCGUGAAAGCCUGGGGCUUAACUCCAGAAUUGCACCUCAAACUACAUGGCUAGAGCAUUGGAGAGGGUAGCAGAAUUCACGGUGUAGCAGUGAAAUUCGUAGAUAUCGGGAGGAACACCAGUGGCGAAGGCGACUACCUGGCCUGUUCUUGACGCUGAGGCGCGAAAGCUAGGGGAGCAAACGGG